AAAUUGAAGAGUUUGAUCAUGGCUCAGAUUGAACGCUGGCGGCAGGCCUAACACAUGCAAGUCGAACGGUAACAGGAAACAGCUUGCUGUUUCGCUGACGAGUGGCGGACGGGUGAGUAAUGUCUGGGAAACUGCCUGAUGGAGGGGGAUAACUACUGGAAACGGUAGCUAAUACCGCAUAACGUCGCAAGACCAAAGAGGGGGACCUUCGGGCCUCUUGCCAUC
This 225-nucleotide ribosomal RNA is filed under the name Escherichia coli. RNAcentral describes it as "partial 16S ribosomal RNA". It matches the Rfam family "Bacterial small subunit ribosomal RNA", at positions 1 to 222 of the family's 1533-position model. The record is from RNAcentral. RNAcentral also lists the same sequence under 4 other names. Lineage: Bacteria; Pseudomonadati; Pseudomonadota; Gammaproteobacteria; Enterobacterales; Enterobacteriaceae.